AAUGAUGGUUUGAUAAAAAUGUUGCUAAUAAUUAUAUAUAUAUAAUAAUCUUGGGAAAAAAUAAUAUAAAUUAUGUAUUAUGUUAAAAGUACAAGAGAAAUAUUAAUUUUUCAUUACUGUUGAAAAGUUUUCAUGAGAAAAAAGUGAGAGCGGAAAUCGAUCGAGAACUUUUUAGGUUAUACGCGUCACAUGUGCGAGGUGAAAACUUUUAUAGAUUUAACAAAUAGUAAAUCAUUGCGUGUUUUCUCUGCUUAUUUACGUGCUAAUUUUAUUUCUAAAACUUUAUAUAUCGUAAAAUACAUUACAUUUUCUAAUAAUUUAAAAUUGUGGUUUGCAACUCGGAGAUAUAAACAAAAGUACGUUAAAAUUUUCUUGUAAAGAAAAAUAGUCAAUGGAACGUUUCUCUCGCGCAUUCAUUUUCACUGCUUUUAUUCGACUUGGUAUUGGCCCUUUGUGGUAGAAGAUUUUUUUGAUGGCACAUUACACAGUCCCCCUUUUAUAUUUUAACCCCUUUGAAAGGGGUAUAGUCACCCCUUUCCCCAUAAAAAGGGGUAGCUGCUAAAAAAGGGUGUUGCAGCAGCAGAAGUAUUGGCCAUGGUUUUUCUAUGAUUUGUGUUAAACAUAUAUUAAAAUCUUUGUAUCUUCCAUUUAAAAAUACUCGUUCCAGGCAUGGUAUAUGUGUAUCUUUAAGUUAAUCAGUCAACAUCUAUUAAUGAUGUGGAAAAGUCAAAAUUGAUAGGGUACUACGCAUGGGCCAUGGGAUUUAGACUGCUCCGUCGGGGCAUGCUCCGUGUCCCGGAGACUGCUCGCUGUCCCUCUCCAGUUGCCUUCCAUGGAGGAUAACAUCCUGGGGGUUGGCCGGGAGCUGCCCGCGAUUGGGCAGAAUCUCAUUGGAUCUACCCCAGAGGCUACUCUGCAUGGAAAGGGUAGCUCAGUCUGUCGCUGGCUGCCGUUGAAUUUCCUUCACAGUGGAUUUUUGAUUAAUCAGUUGUCAGGAUGUCAUGCUCAUCUGAGGCAUUAUCUGACUUUUCAAGUGUGCAACUGUCCGAGUGUACAUACUAUGCUGUGAAAAAUGGUUUGUGUCUUUCCAAAAACUUACAAAAUGCUGUGAAAUAUUUGGCUGUACUUUACUUUCUUAUAUACUUAUAAGCCUAUAUUUUUAGAAAUUAUUUUUAAUUUUCUAAAAGUAAGCCAGGAAAGAUUCUAUUAUCUUUAUAUUAUAAUUGAACUAGUUUUUUUUACAUAAAGAAAUAAAUAAAAAAGUGUUUGACUGAAACUGCACAUACUUUAUAUUGUCUACAUAUAUCUUGCAAGUAUUUUAAUACAUUUUUAUUAUAUAAGUUUUCGAGCAUUUUUAUAAUAUUGGAGACACAUAUUAAAUAAGGUUCAAAACUUUUGACUUAUGAGUAAUAUGAAAUAACAAAGAAUGUAAAGCUUUAUUUUACAUUUUUAUUUUAAUUCUACUAAAUAUCAAAAUUAAUAGAUACCAAAAUGAUUGAAACAAAAUCAGAUAUAAAUAUAAAAAGAAAUUGUAAUUUUUACAUAAAAUAACAAAAUACGUGACAAUAAUAU
RNAcentral lists this long non-coding RNA (1572 nucleotides) under Ooceraea biroi (clonal raider ant). Its description in RNAcentral is "uncharacterized LOC105277491". The record is from RNAcentral. Lineage: Eukaryota; Metazoa; Arthropoda; Insecta; Hymenoptera; Formicidae.